UACGUAGGGGGCAAGCGUUGUCCGGAUUUAUUGGGCGUAAAGAGCGUGUAGGCGGCCAGGUAGGUCCGUUGUGAAAACUGGAGGCUUAACCUCCAGCUGUCGAUGGAAACCAUCUGGCUAGAGUCCGGAAGAGGAGAGUGGAAUUCCUGGUGUAGCGGUGAAAUUCGUAGAUAUCGGGAGGAACACCGGUGGCGAAGGCGGCGACCUGGGUCGAGACUGACGCUGAGGCGCGAAAGCGUGGGGAGCAAACAGG
RNAcentral lists this ribosomal RNA (253 nucleotides) under uncultured bacterium. RNAcentral's name for it is "partial 16S ribosomal RNA". It matches the Rfam family "Bacterial small subunit ribosomal RNA", at positions 524 to 776 of the family's 1533-position model. The record is from RNAcentral.